RNAcentral lists this ribosomal RNA (254 nucleotides) under uncultured bacterium. RNAcentral's name for it is "partial 16S ribosomal RNA". It matches the Rfam family "Bacterial small subunit ribosomal RNA", at positions 524 to 776 of the family's 1533-position model. The record is from RNAcentral.
UACGGAGGGUGCGAGCGUUGUCCGGAAUCAUUGGGCGUAAAGGGCGCGUAGGUGGCCCGGUCAGUUCGUGGUGAAAGCGCGGGGCUCAACCCUGCGUCGGCCAUGAAUACUGCCGCGGCUGGAGCACUGUAGAGGCAGGCGGAAUUCCGGGUGUAGCGGUGGAAUGCGUAGAUAUCGAGAGGAACACCUGCGGCGAAGGCGGGUUGCUGGGCCGACACUGACGCUGAGACGCGAAAGCGUGGGGAGCAAACAGG